RNAcentral lists this ribosomal RNA (253 nucleotides) under uncultured bacterium. RNAcentral's name for it is "partial 16S ribosomal RNA". It matches the Rfam family "Bacterial small subunit ribosomal RNA", at positions 524 to 777 of the family's 1533-position model. The record is from RNAcentral.
UACGGAGGGGCUAGCGUUAUUCGGAAUUACUGGGCGUAAAGCGCACGUAGGCGGCUUUGUAAGUCAGAGGUGAAAGCCUGGAGCUCAACUCCAGAACUGCCUUUGAGACUGCAUCGCUUGAAUCCAGGAGAGGUGAGUGGAAUUCCGAGUGUAGAGGUGAAAUUCGUAGAUAUUCGCAAGAACACCAGUGGCGAAGGCGGCUCACUGGCCCGGUACUGACGCUGAGGUGCGAAAGCGUGGGGAGCAAACAGGG